UUAAAAAACAAGAUGGCGCUACUGCUCCUGCUAACUUGUGUUGUGAUUCCGUGUGACAAGAAAGAUCCGUGUUCGAAUGUUUGUUAACUGUGUUACGUUCCAGUAGAAAAUUCGAAAAAUGGUGUGCUACUGUCUGCCAACUACCAAGUGUUUUUUUUUUCUCUUGUGUUAUGGAAGUAAGGCAGAUCAACUGGAUUAUUUUUCUGGCAUCUUGUCUCAUCUAUGCCAACUGUGAAACCCCAAAACUGUUAGCAACCUAUAGUUGUUGCAUUCCAUUUUGCUAUGAAGUUGCUCACCUAGAGAUUUAGCUCGUGAAACUUGCAUUGCAAAGAAUGAUGACGGGGAAGAAAUGUCACCAAUGAUACAAAUGCUGUGGGAUGGAAUACCAUAAUAUUAUGCUGCUACCCUUAAUACGCUCAUGAUCUUCUGUCAUUUCCACUCUGACUAGUGCAUGAUCAUCAUCAUUUUGUGUAUCCAACUAUAACCACCACCGUUUCAGCAUUCAUCUUACAAUUUCUACUUAGCUGCGAACACACAAACAUAUACGUCAAAAGCAUUUCCUUUGAACUGCCAAGCCUUUGCCUUCAUCUUCAUAACUUCAGGCCCUACAGUCUUUCCAGCAUUUGGACAACAGGCGACUAUGCCUUCUUCCUCAUUCGGAUUCAUCCUCAAUAUUCAAAGUUUUCCCUUCUUCGCUUCAUCGUCGUCCCGUCUUCGCCUCGUCCGUCCAUCGCCUCGUCCGUCCAUCGCCUCGUCCGUCCAUCGCCUCGUCCGUCCA
This is a long non-coding RNA of Daphnia carinata, 778 nucleotides long. RefSeq lists it as uncharacterized. The transcript is spliced from 4 exons. Lineage: Eukaryota; Metazoa; Arthropoda; Branchiopoda; Diplostraca; Daphniidae. The record is from RefSeq and is a predicted model, not a curated record.